This 399-nucleotide long non-coding RNA is filed under the name Homo sapiens (human). Its description in RNAcentral is "HSALNT0202793". Lineage: Eukaryota; Metazoa; Chordata; Mammalia; Primates; Hominidae. The record is from RNAcentral.
GAAACCUUGGUGUCUUCCAACUGGUAAGAAGUAGUUGAAGCUGAGCUGAACAUGUCAUCUGUUCUUAAAUUUAUCAAUUAGGGGAUGGAGUCUCACUAUGCUGCUCAAGGUGGUCUCAAACUCCUCGGCUUAAGUGAUCCCUCUGCCUCAGCUUCCUAAGUGCUGUCAUUACAGUUGUAAGCCACCACACCUAGUCCUCAACUUUGUUUAGUCAUAGCAUUGCCUAUAUCUAUUUUGAAUAUUACUCUUCUAGAAUCUACCAUAUCUGUGACUCUUGGAUAUGGUAAAAUAAACUAUUGUGAAUUAAUCUCCUAUACUGGAAAUUUAUGUGGCAUAGUCAUAAACUAUUUUGUUUUCUUUGUUUUCCUGUCUAUUUUGCUUAGCCUAUUAAAGAAAUAA